ACCUGGGUGGCUCAGUGGUUGAGCAUCUGCCUUUAGCGCAGAUCAUGAUCCUGGGGUA
This 58-nucleotide transfer RNA is filed under the name Canis lupus familiaris (dog). RNAcentral also lists the same sequence under 1 other name. Lineage: Eukaryota; Metazoa; Chordata; Mammalia; Carnivora; Canidae. The record is from Rfam by way of RNAcentral.